CGCAUCUGUGCAUGCAGCAUAUCAAUAAGCGGAGGAAAAGAAACUAACAAGGAUUCCCCUAGUAACGGCGAGUGAAGCGGGAAGAGCUCAAAUUUGAAAUCUUAAAGGGUUUCCCUUUACGAAUUGUAGUUUAAAGAAGUGUUUUCUGUUGAGGUUUUGGUAAAAGUUCUUUGGAAUAGGACAUCGAUAGAGGGUGAGAAUCCCGUAUUUGACCUUUACUUUCAACUUUGUGAUACACUUUCAAAGAGUCGGAUUGUUUGGGAAUGCAGUCCAAAAUGGGUGGUAAAUCUCAUCUAAAGCUAAAUAUUGGCGAGAGACCGAUAGCGAACAAGUACCGUGAGGGAAAGAUGAAAAGAACUUUGAAAAGAGAGUUAAACAGUACGUGAAAUUGUCAAAAGGGAAGCGUUUGACACCAGUGUUGUUUUUCUGAAAAUCAAUUAAAGAACUGUUUAUGCUAAGUUGUUUAGACUUUAUCAGCUAACUGUUUAGUUUUGAGCUUUUCUUUAAUGCACUUUUCAGUUAACAAGUCAACAUCAAUUUCUUUUGCUGUAAAAAAGCUUGAGGAAGGUGGCUUGAGAUUCGUCUUAAGUGUUUAUAGCCUCUUGCCUAUGCAGUCGGAGAGAUUGAGGUCUGCAGCGUAGAUCCUUCGGGGCUAAAUGCAUUUGUGCUAAGUUAUAGCAUUUUAUAGACAACUUGUUGACUAUGAUUUGUCUUGUAGCUUACUCGCUUAUGUUAUUUUACCUACGCUUAGGAUGUUGAACGCGCACAGAGUCUC
Molecule: ribosomal RNA, 775 nt
Filed under: uncultured Neocallimastigales
Lineage: Eukaryota; Fungi; Neocallimastigomycota; Neocallimastigomycetes; Neocallimastigales
Description: partial large subunit ribosomal RNA
Rfam family: Eukaryotic large subunit ribosomal RNA
Source: RNAcentral